CUGACCUGCCCACUGAAUAUUGUUUGAAGGGCCGCAGUAUUUUGACUGUGCAAAGGUAGCAUAAUCAUUAGUCUUUUAAUUGAAGGCUGGUAUGAAUGGUUGGAUGAGAUACRAGCUGUGUCAWAAAAAUUAAUAUUUGAAUUUACCUUUUUAGUCAAAAGGCUAAAAUAAUCUUAAAAGACGAGAAGACCCCGUAGAGUUUUAUAUAAUUAAUAUUUAAAUUAUUAAGAUUUUUAAWAUUUAAUUAUUAAAUUAUAUUUUGUUGGGGUGACAAUAAAAUUAAUAAAACUUUUAUUUUUAAUUAACAUUGAUUUAUGAGUAAAUGAUCCAGUUUUAUUGAUUAUAAAUUUAAGUUACCUUGGGGAUAACAGCGUAAUUUUUUUUGAGAGUUCUUAUCGACAAAAAAGAUUGCGACCUCGAUGUUGGAUUAAGAGUAAUUUUGGGUGUAGAAGUUCAAAGUNUUAAGUCUGUUCGACUUUUAAAUUCUU
Molecule: ribosomal RNA, 488 nt
Filed under: Simulium juxtacrenobium
Lineage: Eukaryota; Metazoa; Arthropoda; Insecta; Diptera; Simuliidae
Description: partial 16S ribosomal RNA
Rfam family: Bacterial large subunit ribosomal RNA
Source: RNAcentral